UACGUAGGGUGCAAGCGUUGUCCGGAAUUAUUGGGCGUAAAGAGCGUGUAGGCGGCCUGGUAAGUCCGCUGUGAAAGUCCAGGGCUCAACCCUGGAAUGCCGGUGGAAACUGUCAGGCUCGAGUCCGGAAGAGGCGAGUGGAAUUCCUGGUGUAGCGGUGAAAUGCGCAGAUAUCAGGAGGAACACCAAUGGCGAAGGCAGCUCGCUGGGACGGUACUGACGCUGAGACGCGAAAGCGUGGGGAGCAAACAGG
This 253-nucleotide ribosomal RNA is filed under the name uncultured bacterium. Its description in RNAcentral is "partial 16S ribosomal RNA". It matches the Rfam family "Bacterial small subunit ribosomal RNA", at positions 524 to 776 of the family's 1533-position model. The record is from RNAcentral.